ACAGAGGUCCCAAGCGUUGUUCGGAUUUACUGGGCGUAAAGGGAGCGUAGGUGGCAUUCUAAGUCUGAUGUGAAAGCUCUGAGCUUAACUCAGAAAUGGCAUUAGAUACUAGUUUGCUUGAGGAUUGGAGGGGAGAUUGGAAUACUUGGUGUAGCAGUGAAAUGCGUAGAUAUCAAGUGGAACACCAGUGGCGAAGGCGAAUCUCUGGACAAUUCCUGACACUGAUGCUCGAAAGCGUGGGGAGCAAACGGGA
RNAcentral lists this ribosomal RNA (253 nucleotides) under uncultured prokaryote. Its description in RNAcentral is "partial 16S ribosomal RNA". It matches the Rfam family "Bacterial small subunit ribosomal RNA", at positions 525 to 777 of the family's 1533-position model. The record is from RNAcentral.